AGGACGAUUCAAUCUUGAAU
RNAcentral lists this small nuclear RNA (20 nucleotides) under Arabidopsis thaliana (thale cress). Its description in RNAcentral is "snRNA_10647". Lineage: Eukaryota; Viridiplantae; Streptophyta; Magnoliopsida; Brassicales; Brassicaceae. The record is from RNAcentral.